UCCUACGGGGGGCAGCAGUGAGGAAUAUUGGUCAAUGGCCGGAAGGCUGAACCAGCCAAGUCGCGUGAGGGAAUAAGGCCCUAUGGGUCGUAAACCUCUUUUGUCAGGGAGCAAAGGCGUCCACGUGUGGACGAGAGGAGAGUACCUGAAGAAAAAGCAUCGGCUAACUCCGUGCCAGCAGCCGCGGUAAUACGGAGGAUGCGAGCGUUAUCCGGAUUUAUUGGGUUUAAAGGGUGCGUGGCGGGCUGUUAAAUCAGCGGUAAAAGCCCGGGGCUCAACCCCGGCGAGCCGUUGAAACUGGCUGU
This 305-nucleotide ribosomal RNA is filed under the name uncultured bacterium. RNAcentral's name for it is "bacterial SSU rRNA". It matches the Rfam family "Bacterial small subunit ribosomal RNA", at positions 337 to 640 of the family's 1533-position model. The record is from RNAcentral.